Molecule: ribosomal RNA, 496 nt
Filed under: uncultured bacterium
Lineage: Bacteria
Description: partial 16S ribosomal RNA
Rfam family: Bacterial small subunit ribosomal RNA
Source: RNAcentral
GAUGAACGCUGGCGGCGUGCCUAAUACAUGCAAGUCGAGCGAACAGACGAGGAGCUUGCUCCUCUGACGUUAGCGGCGGACGGGUGAGUAACACGUGGAUAACCUACCUAUAAGACUGGGAUAACUUCGGGAAACCGGAGCUAAUACCGGAUAAUAUAUUGAACCGCAUGGUUCAAUAGUGAAAGACGGUUUUGCUGUCACUUAUAGAUGGAUCCGCGCCGCAUUAGCUAGUUGGUAAGGUAACGGCUUACCAAGGCAACGAUGCGUAGCCGACCUGAGAGGGUGAUCGGCCACACUGGAACUGAGACACGGUCCAGACUCCUACGGGAGGCAGCAGUAGGGAAUCUUCCGCAAUGGGCGAAAGCCUGACGGAGCAACGCCGCGUGAGUGAUGAAGGUCUUCGGAUUGUAAAACUCUGUUAUUAGGGAAGAACAAAUGUGUAAGUAACUAUGCACGUCUGGACGGUACCUAAUCAGAAAGCCACGGCUAACUACGU